Molecule: long non-coding RNA, 262 nt
Organism: Etheostoma spectabile (orangethroat darter)
Lineage: Eukaryota; Metazoa; Chordata; Actinopteri; Perciformes; Percidae
Exons: 2
Source: RefSeq, a predicted model, not a curated record
GGAUGAUGAUGAUGAUGACACAGAGCUACCACCACCAUCACCCCCCCCACAGGACUGCAGCUCGCCGGUCCCAUCUGCCUCCGUGUCAUCACGGCAAGCCAGACGAGGAAAAAAGCGUGAACAUGAGGAGCUGUUGGACUAGAUGGAGAAGGCUGACGAUAAGUUCCUGCAGCUCAACAAAGACAUGGUGGCAAAGAUGGAGGCAGACACCAGCGCUCUGCUGGGGCUCAUGGGGCGCAUGGUGGCAGUGAUGGAGGCGCAA